This 2271-nucleotide ribosomal RNA is filed under the name Triticum aestivum (bread wheat). RNAcentral describes it as "partial small subunit ribosomal RNA". Lineage: Eukaryota; Viridiplantae; Streptophyta; Magnoliopsida; Poales; Poaceae. The record is from RNAcentral.
AUGGGGAGCGACGACAGCGGCCGUGGCAGCAUCGCCUUCUUCGGGACCUACCGCCCGCCGGUGCCACUGGACAUCUACUCCUGCCCGGCCGACCCGCCGCCCUCCUCGCGGAAGGACGAGCUGCACCUCACCGACGGCGUCUCCUACAACCAGAACGGCCGGGCCAUCCCGGCGCCGGCGCUCAAGGAGCUGCUCACGUUCCUGGGCAAGAAAAACCCCGCGCUCGCCGCCGAGUGCGGCGCCACGCCGGACGACGCCGAGAAGGGCCGCGUCGCCGGCCUCGUCUUCGUCUCCGAGAGGGACAAGGGGCUCGAGACGCUGCACGUGGCCCUUGUGCGUCCCAAAGGCGAAGGUGGUGCGGUAAAGGUGCUGAGCCUGGGCGACGUCUACGGCGCCGACACCUUCGGCGGCUCGCGGAUGGAGGACAGCGGCUGCAUCGCCGGCGGCUUCAAGGUGGGCGCUCGCACCGUCGGCCACUCGCUCGUGUACGUCUCCACCAAGGAGCCGGUGACGAGGCGCCGCACGCCGUGGACCGUGGUGUACCGGACCAACCUCGCCGACGGCAAGACGGAGCGCCUCACCCCGCCAGGCCAGUACGACGUGAGCCCCGCCGUGUCGCCGUCGGGCAAGAUGGUGGCGGUGGCCAACUUCCGCGGAAACAAGUGGACCGGCGAGAUCGAGCGCCUCAACACCGACAUCGCCGUCAUGAACGUGGACAAGACGGCGCAGGGCGGCCUGCGCCGCAGGAUCCUCAUCCGGGACGGCGGCUGGCCGACGUGGGGCAGCGACAACGUCAUCUUCUUCCACCGCGGGACUGGGGAGUCCCCGACGAACUGGGCCGUGUUCCGCUACGACAUCGCCACCAAGGAGACCGUGCGGGUGACGCCCGAGGCCAUCGACGCCAUGACUCCCGCGGCCAUCAGCGAGACCAGGGUGGCCGUGGCCGCCAUCCGCCAGAAGUCUAGGCAGGCCGCCAUGACCACGCCGCGAGAGGAGGCGCAGUACCGCCACAUCGAGAUCUUCGACGUCGCGUCGCCGGACCGGCCGGCCGUGCAGAUCAGCCAGAAAAUCAGGCCCAAGGGCGACCACUACAACCCUUUCGUGGCCGACGGCGGCAGCCGCAUCGGCUACCAUCGGGUCAGAACCGACGAUCUCGUCAUUGGGAAUAAUCUUUCUGCGCCUACCAAGAGCUUCGACAAGAUACACUCCCCUCACACAGAUGUGGGGCUGUUCAGGGUGUCGGGUGUGUUCCCAACCAUUUCCAAGGAUGGCGCCAAGCUCGCCUUCGUCGACAACGAGUUCAAGGCCGUGUGGCUCGCCGACACCCAAGGCCUGCGUGUUGUCUACGAGAAGCGGGGCUCCAACGCCGUCUUCUCCACGGCGUGGAACCAGAACCCGGACAAGGACACAUUGUACGUCUGCGUGGGGCCGUCCUUCUCUGCCGCCAAGCCACUGGAGAUCUACGCCAUCUCCAACGUGUCCGGGCCGUCCGCCGGCCGGAAGGUGCAGCGCCUCACCGCCGGGAACUUCAACAACGCCUUCCCGUCGAGCAACGCGCAGGGGGACAAGUUCGUGUUCCGGUCCACGAGGGACGGCGGCAAGGAGAAGUUCCACAAGAACCUCUACAUCAUGGAGGAUGCGGAGGAGGGGGAGUUCGGCCAGGGCACAGUGACGCGGCUCACCAACGGGCCGUGGACCGACACCCACUGCAGCUGGUCGCCCAAGGGGGACUGGGUCGUCUUCUCCUCUACCCGCGAGAUGCCAGCCAGCGCGCCGGAGAUGGCCUUCCUUGACGCGGGCUACUUUGCCGUGUACCUGGUGAAGGUCAGCAACCCCACGGUGGUGGUGCGCGUGGUGCAAAGCUCGGCUACCCUCGCAGGACACGUGAACCACCCCAUUUUCAGCCCCGACAUGAGGAGCAUUGUCUUCGCCUCCGACCUCGCCGCCGUCUCCAACGAGCCCAUCUCGAUGCCCGUCUUCCUGCACUCCGUUAGGCCCUACGGCGACAUCCUUUCAGUCGACCUCCGCGACACUGAUGACAUCACCAAGAACAAGGACAUCCAGGAGUUCCACCGCAUCACGCACAGCCGCUACGAGUACUCCACUCCGACAUGGACCAAGUUCGCCACCGACGACCCCAACGAGCAGUGGAACAUGCUCGCCGUCAAGGGCAGCACCCCAUUCAGGCCGGCGUGCCCUUACAUGUACCCUGACGGAGGAGAGGGCUGGCACAUGGCCGGCCACCUCACCAUCCCAAAGAGAUGCUGCUAG